Molecule: ribosomal RNA, 777 nt
Filed under: Triticum aestivum (bread wheat)
Lineage: Eukaryota; Viridiplantae; Streptophyta; Magnoliopsida; Poales; Poaceae
Description: partial small subunit ribosomal RNA
Source: RNAcentral
AUGGCAAUUGCUCGCACUGGCGUGUACGUGGACGACUACUUGGAGUAUUCGAGCACCCUGGCCGGCGACCUGCAGAGGAUCCUCUCCACCAUGCACGAGCUCGACGAGAGGGCCCAUGGCAUUUUGGGUCAGACAAAAGGGCAGAUCAAAUAUCUCCUGGGGGUGCCAUCCCAUGGGUUCGACAGGCCAAACGUGGUGCAUGAUGAAAAUGCCUCGGAGAAGAUGACGAGGGAUAUUGAAAAUAGCCAGGACAACGCGCUUAGUCUCUGCACGGAGAAAGUGUUGCUCGCACGCCAAGCUUAUGACCUGAUAGAGAGCCAUAUCAAACGUCUUGAUGAAGACCUAGGCCAGUUUGCAGAAGAUUUAAAGCAAGAAGGAAAAAUACCUCCAGAUGAACCGCAUAUCCUUCCUCCAAUGCCGGUGGGUGGCAGGGAUGAAAGACGGAGGUCCAGUUUUAGUACACCCCAAGCAGCAAGGAAGUUUGUCAGAGAGAAGGAAUGGGAUAGGGAUAGGGAGAGAGGUAUGGACUUCGACUUAAUGCCCCCUCCAGGUAGCAGCAACAAGAAGGCCGUUGCAUCUAUGGAUGUGGAUCAAAUGAUUGAUCCAAAUGAACCAACAUAUUGUAUAUGCCACCAGGUUUCAUAUGGUGAUAUGAUUGCUUGUGACAAUGAGAAUUGUGAAGGAGGCGAAUGGUUCCAUUACUCGUGCGUUGGUCUGACACCAGAAACAAGAUUCAAAGGGAAAUGGUUUUGCCCAACUUGCAGGAAUCUUCAAUGA